Molecule: unclassified non-coding RNA, 189 nt
Filed under: uncultured fungus
Lineage: Eukaryota; Fungi
Description: partial contains 18S rRNA, ITS1 and 5.8S rRNA
Source: RNAcentral
AGGUGAACCUGCGGAAGGAUCAUUAAUAGUGCUCUCUGAUGCAAAUCAUUGAGUUAGAUCUGCUCUCCUCGCAAGAGGAGGGUUUCCAUACACACCGUGAACUGUGGCUUCGGCCAUCACAAACUGUUAGUAAUGAAUGUAAUAUCAUAACAAAAACAAAACUUUUAACAACGGAUCUCUUGGCUUUCG